Salmo salar (Atlantic salmon) is the source of this 54-nucleotide non-coding RNA. NCBI's taxonomy places the organism in Eukaryota, Metazoa, Chordata, Actinopteri, Salmoniformes, Salmonidae. The record is from Rfam.
AAUGCACCAAUUUGUAAGUCGCUCUGGAUAAGAGCAUCUGCUAAAUGACUUAAA